GUCCUAGCCGUAAACGGUGUGCACUUGACGUGGGAGGAAUUAUCCCCUUCCGUGUCGUAGCUAACGCGAUAAGUGCACCGCCUGGGGAGUACGGUCGCAAGAUUAAACUCAAAGAAAUUGACGGGGCCCGCACAAGCGGUGGAGCAUGUUGCUUAAUUCGAUGCAACGCGAAGAACCUUACCUGGGUUUGAAAUGUGGCUGGAUGCCGCGGGAAACCGCGGAGGCCUUCGAGGCUGUCACACAGGUGCUGCAUGGCUGUCGU
Molecule: ribosomal RNA, 262 nt
Filed under: uncultured bacterium
Lineage: Bacteria
Description: partial 16S ribosomal RNA
Rfam family: Bacterial small subunit ribosomal RNA
Source: RNAcentral